RNAcentral lists this ribosomal RNA (440 nucleotides) under uncultured bacterium. Its description in RNAcentral is "partial 16S ribosomal RNA". It matches the Rfam family "Bacterial small subunit ribosomal RNA", at positions 338 to 795 of the family's 1533-position model. The record is from RNAcentral.
CCUACGGGAGGCAGCAGUGGGGAAUAUUGCACAAUGGGGGAAACCCUGAUGCAGCGACGCCGCGUGAGUGAAGAAGUAUUUCGGUAUGUAAAGCUCUAUCAGCAGGGAAGAAAAUGACGGUACCUGACUAAGAAGCCCCGGCUAACUACGUGCCAGCAGCCGCGGUAAUACGUAGGGGGCAAGCGUUAUCCGGAUUUACUGGGUGUAAAGGGAGCGUAGGCGGCAGUGCAAGUCUGAUGUGAAAGCCCGGGGCUUAACCCCGGGACUGCAUUUGAAACUGUGCAGCUAGAGUGCAGGAGAGGAGAGUGGAAGUCCUAGUGUAGCGGUGAAAUGCGUAGAUAUUAGGAGGAACACCAGUGGCGAAGGCGGCUUGCUGGACUGUAACUGACGUUGAGGCUCGAAAGCGUGGGGAGCAAACAGGAUUAGAUACCCUUGUAGUC